This is a long non-coding RNA of Hirundo rustica (Barn swallow), 943 nucleotides long. RefSeq lists it as uncharacterized. The record is from RefSeq and is a predicted model, not a curated record. NCBI's taxonomy places the organism in Eukaryota, Metazoa, Chordata, Aves, Passeriformes, Hirundinidae. The transcript has 3 exons.
GAGCCACCCUUGGGUCACGUUUCUGUUCCCUGAUGAGGAAAUGGGGACUGGCCUUGGCUCGUUCCCAUUGCAGGUGGGGAUGAUUCACAGCUCAUGGAGUGGAGGAUCCGGGGAAAAGCGGGCUCUGAGCUCACCAGGAGCGCUGGAGGAGCUGGGGGUGAGGAUUUGUUUGCAGGAUCGAUCCCAGGACUGAUCCCAGCCCUUCCCACGGACAGCUGGGGAGGAACCAGCUCCAGCCCUUUUAUCCAGACCCAGGAGAUCAGCACUCCUCUCCCAAAGGGGAAUGGAGGAGAAGAAAGAUGCUUUUGGGAUCCUCCCGUGCUCGGCGCUGCUCCCGCAGGUCCCAGGCUUGGAGUGGGAAUUCCAUCCUCCCUCCCGUCCCACGGGGAUUUUCUCCCUUCCCCCCUGAUCCCGGGAGGGAUCAGACUCGUUCCUGCUCCCUGACCUGCACACCUGGCUGCUGCGGAGCUCUGCUGCCCCUUCCCUUCCCGCUGCGAGCCUCAGGCACCUCCCGCUGGAUUCCCUGCUCCAAAAUUCAGAGUUUUUCUUCUGGAAAGGAGAAGUCCCCACCCCGGCACUCCUCAGCCUGACUCAGCCCGGUCCCUCUGUGGGUGAAUCACGGCUGGGGGAGAACCAAACCAAACCAAACCAAACCAAACCUGGGGUGACCUCCAGCUCCUCGGGGAUCCACGAACGUCCCCGGAGCCGCAGGAGGAGCGGGAAUGAUCGGAGAGCCCAGCUCUGCCCCUUCUGGGGCUGCUGCCAUCAAUCCCUGCUGGGAUUCUUCUGCCCCUGGAGAGGCAGGAUGACACUUCCCCUCCAGUGGGGAGGUAAAAAAGGGAAAUGCCAAGCAGAAAUCGGGAAAAUCCAGGUGUUCGUGGCUUAAGUUCAGCUUUGACGUGCGGAGAGAGGCCGAGCUUUAAAAAAGGAUUAAUGUCAAGAA